This 278-nucleotide ribosomal RNA is filed under the name uncultured Staphylococcus sp. RNAcentral describes it as "partial 16S ribosomal RNA". It matches the Rfam family "Bacterial small subunit ribosomal RNA", at positions 83 to 355 of the family's 1533-position model. The record is from RNAcentral. Lineage: Bacteria; Bacillati; Bacillota; Bacilli; Caryophanales; Staphylococcaceae.
CCUUUGACGUUAGCGGCGACGGGUGAGUAACACGUGGGUAACCUACCUAUAAGACUGGGAUAACUUCGGGAAACCGGAGCUAAUACCGGAUAAUAUUUCGAACCGCAUGGUUCGAUAGUGAAAGAUGGUUUUGCUAUCACUUAUAGAUGGACCCGCGCCGUAUUAGCUAGUUGGUAAGGUAACGGCUUACCAAGGCGACGAUACGUAGCCGACCUGAGAGGGUGAUCGGCCACACUGGAACUGAGACACGGUCCAGACUCCUACGGGAGGCAGCAGCC